UACGUAGGGUGCAAGCGUUAUUCGGAAUUACUGGGCGUAAAGCGUGCGCAGGCGGUUCUGUAAGUCUGUCGUGAAAUCCCCGGGCUUAACCUGGGAAUUGCGAUGGAGACUGCAAGGCUAGAAUCUGGCAGAGGGGGGUAGAAUUCCACGUGUAGCAGUGAAAUGCGUAGAGAUGUGGAGGAACACCGAUGGCGAAGGCAGCCCCCUGGGUCAAGAUUGACGCUCAUGCACGAAAGCGUGGGGAGCAAACAGG
RNAcentral lists this ribosomal RNA (253 nucleotides) under uncultured bacterium. Its description in RNAcentral is "partial 16S ribosomal RNA". It matches the Rfam family "Bacterial small subunit ribosomal RNA", at positions 524 to 776 of the family's 1533-position model. The record is from RNAcentral.